RNAcentral lists this ribosomal RNA (380 nucleotides) under uncultured archaeon. Its description in RNAcentral is "bacterial SSU rRNA". It matches the Rfam family "Archaeal small subunit ribosomal RNA", at positions 471 to 851 of the family's 1478-position model. The record is from RNAcentral.
UAACACCAGCCCCUCGAGUGGUGGGGAUGAUUAUUUGGCCUAAAGCGUCCGUAGCCAGCCAUGUAAGUCUCCCGUUAAAUCCAGCGUCUCAAGCGUUGGACUGCGGGAGAUACUGCACGGCUAGAGGGUGGGAGAGGUCAGCGGUAUUCUGGGGGUAGGGGCGAAAUCCUUUGAUCCCCGGAGGACCACCAGUGGCGAAGGCUGCUGACUAGAACACGCCUGACGGUCAGGGACGAAAGCUGGGGUAGCGAACCGGAUUAGAUACCCGGGUAGUCCCAGCCGUAAACGAUGCAUGUUAGGUGUUGGGUCGGCCACGAGCCGCCCCAGUGCCGCAGGGAAGCCAUUAAACAUGCCGCCUGGGGAGUACGGCCGCAAGGCUG